Molecule: ribosomal RNA, 635 nt
Filed under: uncultured bacterium
Lineage: Bacteria
Description: bacterial SSU rRNA
Rfam family: Bacterial small subunit ribosomal RNA
Source: RNAcentral
UCCGAAUGCUCUAGAUUAAAGUUUGAUCAUGGGCUCAGACUGAACGCUGAGCGGCAGGCCUAACACAUGCAAGUCGAACGGUAACAGGAAGCAGCUUGCUGCUUUGCUGACGAGUGGCGGACGGGUGAGUAAUGUCUGGGAAACUGCCUGAUGGAGGGGGAUAACUACUGGAAACGGUAGCUAAUACCGCAUAACGUCGCAAGACCAAAGAGGGGGACCUUCGGGCCUCUUGCCAUCGGAUGUGCCCAGAUGGGAUUAGCUAGUAGUGGGGUAACGGCUCACCUAGGCGACGAUCCCUAGCUGGUCUGAGAGGAUGACCAGCCACACUGGAACUGAGACACGGUCCAGACUCCUACGGGAGGCAGCAGUGGGGAAUAUUGCACAAUGGGCGCAAGCCUGAUGCAGCCAUGCCGCGUGUAUAGAAGAAGGCCUUCGGGUUGUAAAGUACUUUCAGCGGGGAGGAAGGUGUUGAGGUUAAUAACCUCAGCAAUUGACGUUACCCGCAGAAGAAGCACCGGCUAACUCCGUGCCAGCAGCCGCGGUAAUACGGAGGGUGCAAGCGUUAAAUCGGAAUUACUAGGGCGUAAAGCGCACGCAGGCGGGUCUGUACAAGUCGGGAUGUUGAAAUACCCCGG